GAGCGGAAAGGCCCUUCGGGGUACUCGAGCGGCGAACGGGUGAGUAACACGUGAGAAACCUGCCCUUAGCUCUGGGAUAGCUCCGGGAAACCGGGAUUAAUACCGGAUACGACCACUACCGGCCUCGGCAGUGGUGGAGAGAUUUAUCGGCUAGGGAUGGUCUCGCGGCCUAUCAGCUUGUUGGUGAGGUAACGGCUCACCAAGGCGACGACGGGUAGCCGGCCUGAGAGGGCGACCGGCCACACUGGGACUGAGACACGGCCCAGACUCCUACGGGAGGCAGCAGUGGGGAAUAUUGCGCAAUGGGCGAAAGCCUGACGCAGCAACGCCGCGUGCGGGAUGAAGGCCUUCGGGUUGUAAACCGCUUUCAGCAGGGACGAAGCGAAAGUGACGGUACCUGCAGAAGAAGCGCCGGCUAACUACGUGCCAGCAACCGCGGUAAU
Molecule: ribosomal RNA, 443 nt
Filed under: uncultured bacterium
Lineage: Bacteria
Description: bacterial SSU rRNA
Rfam family: Bacterial small subunit ribosomal RNA
Source: RNAcentral